Long non-coding RNA from Peromyscus eremicus (cactus mouse), 577 nucleotides. RefSeq lists it as uncharacterized. The transcript has 3 exons. NCBI's taxonomy places the organism in Eukaryota, Metazoa, Chordata, Mammalia, Rodentia, Cricetidae. The record is from RefSeq and is a predicted model, not a curated record.
GCCAUCUUCCUGGGAUGGGGAAGUCACCAGUUAAGAGUGAGGACCGCACAAUGAGCAUUUUCACUCUGGGGAGCCAUCAGGGAGGAUCAGCAGAGGCGCACUGCUUUCUGCCUGAACUGAGGGAAGCCAGCACCACUCCAUUCUUCCCAGUCCGUUUCCCUGAGAAGUCAGGAUGCACCGGGCAAAGGAGAGAUGACUCACAGUGAACGUGAAUCUCAAAUGGGCCCUCUAAGACACACGGAACACUCAAGAAAAGGAAUCUCAACAUGGCCUCCGUUCUAAGUCAAUGCAAUUCCACAAGACAGAAGGAGACACCUCUUCUCUACUGGAGAACACGUCACCCCCCUCUAAGGCGCUGUGUGGUGUUUCCGCCUGGUGACCGUGUCCUUGUACCAGCCACGCACAGGGUGGAGGGUAAGGUAGGUCCUCUGGGGCACUAGGCGUGGCUGGAAAUGAGGAAUGAGGCAGAAAGGAGGCCUCCCUGGGAUGGGUGCUGGGGAACUUUACUGUCUCCACCAGCUGAGCUUUCAGUAAAAGGAGUUGGCGCUCUCUGCUAGCCCAGGACGGAUCCACAGAA